CAGCCGCCGCGGGAAUACAGAGGGUGCAAGCGUUAAUCGGAAUUACUGGGCGUAAAGCGCGCGUAGGUGGUUUGUUAAGUUGGAUGUGAAAGCCCCGGGCUCAACCUGGGAAAUGCAUCCAAAACUGGCAAGCUAGAGUACGGUAGAGGGUGGUGGAAUUUCCUGUGUAGCGGUGAAAUGCGUAGAUAUAGGAAGGAACACCAGUGGCGAAGGCGACCACCUGGACUGAUACUGACACUGAGGUGCGAAAGCGUGGGGAGCAAACAGGAUUAGAUACCCCCGUAGUCCCUGUCUCUUAUAC
RNAcentral lists this ribosomal RNA (301 nucleotides) under uncultured bacterium. Its description in RNAcentral is "partial 16S ribosomal RNA". It matches the Rfam family "Bacterial small subunit ribosomal RNA", at positions 509 to 807 of the family's 1533-position model. The record is from RNAcentral.